AUUGAACGCUGGCGGCAUGCCUUACACAUGCAAGUCGAACGGUAACAGGUCUUCGGAUGCUGACGAGUGGCGAACGGGUGAGUAAUACAUCGGAACGUGCCCGAUCGUGGGGGAUAACGGAGCGAAAGCUUUGCUAAUACCGCAUACGAUCUACGGAUGAAAGCAGGGGACCGCAAGGCCUUGCGCGAACGGAGCGGCCGAUGGCAGAUUAGGUAGUUGGUGGGAUAAAAGCUUACCAAGCCGACGAUCUGUAGCUGGUCUGAGAGGACGACCAGCCACACUGGGACUGAGACACGGCCCAGACUCCUACGGGAGGCAGCAGUGGGGAAUUUCGGACAAUGGGCGAAAGCCUGAUCCAGCCAUGCCGCGUGCAGGAUGAAGGCCUUCGGGUUGUAAACUGCUUUUGUACGGAACGAAAAGACUCUGGUUAAUACCUGGGGUCCAUGACGGUACCGUAAGAAUAAGCACCGGCUAACUACGUGCCAGCCGCCGCCGUAA
This 498-nucleotide ribosomal RNA is filed under the name uncultured bacterium. RNAcentral's name for it is "partial 16S ribosomal RNA". It matches the Rfam family "Bacterial small subunit ribosomal RNA", at positions 30 to 523 of the family's 1533-position model. The record is from RNAcentral.